GACGAACGCUGGCGGCGUGCUUAACACAUGCAAGUCGAACGGAAAGGCCCUGCUUUUGUGGGGUGCUCGAGUGGCGAACGGUUGAGUAACACGUGAGUAACCUGCCCUUGACUUUGGGAUAACUUCAGGAAACUGGGGCUAAUACCGGAUAGGAGCUCCUGCUGCAUGGUGGGGGUUGGAAAGUUUCGGCGGUUGGGGAUGGACUCGCGGCUUAUCAGCUUGUUGGUGGGGUAGUGGCUUACCAAGGCUUUGACGGGUAGCCGGCCUGAGAGGGUGACCGGCCACAUUGGGACUGAGAUACGGCCCAGACUCCUAUGGGAGGCAGCAGUGGGGAAUAGUGCACAAUGGGCGGAAGCCUGAUGCAGCAACGCCGCGUGCGGGAUGACGGCCUUCGGGUUGUAAACCGCUUUCGCCUGUGACGAAGCGUGAGUGACGGUAAUGGGUAAAGAAGCACCGGCUAACUACGUG
RNAcentral lists this ribosomal RNA (468 nucleotides) under uncultured bacterium. Its description in RNAcentral is "partial 16S ribosomal RNA". It matches the Rfam family "Bacterial small subunit ribosomal RNA", at positions 28 to 507 of the family's 1533-position model. The record is from RNAcentral.